Molecule: ribosomal RNA, 229 nt
Filed under: uncultured bacterium
Lineage: Bacteria
Description: partial 16S ribosomal RNA
Rfam family: Bacterial small subunit ribosomal RNA
Source: RNAcentral
UGAGUAACACGUAUCCAACCUGCCGUCUACUCUUGGCCAGCCUUCUGAAAAGAAGAUUAAUCCAGGAUGGCAUCAUGAGUUCACAUGUCCGCAUGAUUAAAGGUAUUUUCCGGUAGACGAUGGGGAUGCGUUCCAUUAGAUAGUAGGCGGGGUAACGGCCCACCUAGUCAACGAUGGAUAGGGGUUCUGAGAGGAAGGUCCCCCACAUUGGAACUGAGACACGGUCCAA